UUUAUUAAUUUUAUAAUUCAAUGCCAAAAGUAUAUCCAUGAAUACAAAAAAUAACAGGUAACACGUGUUAACAAUAUAAAGUUUUGGUUGUGUUCUUUAUAGGUUUAAGGUUAACUUAAGCAAAUCUACUCGGUAUCGUAGAAGAAAGCGAGCUGCUACAGUUCUUACUGCUUCAAUGUAUUCAUCAUCUAGUUCUAGUAAUGAGUAUAAUAAUGAUUUUCAUCAAAACCCACUUCCUCAUAUUGCAUUUCCAUCAAAUUCAGAAAUGUAUGAACGUUGUUCAUCACCUGCAAUAGUACACACACAGGAAGAAGUAACUUUAACUAAUGAUGAUGAAGAUUGUUGUGAACUAAGUUCUAGCUCUAGUUCUUAUGAUGAAAAACAAUUUAAUCCAGAAAUUGAUGAUGGGGUUAAUUUAACUAUUGCUAAAUGGGCCAUUCGAAAUAAUAUUACUCACAUGGCUUUAGACGAUCUGCUCAAAAAUUUAUCAAAGCAUCCACAAUUUAAGGAAUUACCCAUAGAUUCUCGAACAUUAUUAAAAACCCCCACCAAAACUAUUAUUAAAGAAAUCAAAGGGGGUAGUUACUAUCAUUUUGGAAUCUUUGAUCAAAUUGAACAUUUGAUAAAAUCUGGUACUUCGCUUCCUUCAGUACUCAUGCUAAUGGUUGGAAUAGACGGAUUACCCAUCACAAAAAAUCCUCCUAGUCAAUUAUGGCCUAUUUUAGGGUAUUUUUCAAAUAUCUCUGACUCUAGUGUUUUCAUUAUUGGUUCAUAUUAUGGUAAACCAAAACCAGAAGACAGUAACGAAUUUUUAAGUGAUUUUGUAAAUGAAAUUUGUGUGCUGAUUAAUGAUGGUGUGAUGUAUAAUAAUAUUCAUGUAAAACUUCAUCUAAAAGCUCUUAUAUGUGAUGCCCCAGCAAAAUCGUUUGCAUUAAAUUUUAAGGGACACAGCCAUGGCUGUCCCACUGCCAAAUAUUCCUCCGGCUUUCAUUGGUAUCUUACCAGUAAAAACAAUGGAUGAGCUGAAAACUGUAGAGACACUAUUAUCUGAUGGUAACGAAGAAGCAAAUAAAUAUAAAGAAGAACUGAAGUUCUAUUUGCUGAUGAAAGUUGGUGGGAUGUCAUUUAACACUGCGAUUAAGAAAACAAUUGACUGUUGUUUUGAAAAGGAAUUGCU
This is an RNA transcript of Melanaphis sacchari, 1177 nucleotides long. RefSeq lists it as uncharacterized. The record is from RefSeq and is a predicted model, not a curated record. The transcript is spliced from 2 exons. NCBI's taxonomy places the organism in Eukaryota, Metazoa, Arthropoda, Insecta, Hemiptera, Aphididae.